UGGGGAAUAUUGCACAAUGGGCGCAAGCCUGAUGCAGCCAUUCCGCGUGUAUGAAGAAGGCCUUCGGGUUGUAAAGUACUUUCAGUCGGGAGGAAGGUGUCAAGGUUAAUAACCUUGGCAAUUGACGUUACCGACAGAAGAAGCACCGGCUAACUCCGUGCCAGCAGCCGCGGUAAAACGGAGGGUGCAAGCGUUAAUCGGAAUUACUGGGCGUAAAGCGCACGCAGGCGGUUGAUUGAGUCAGAUGUGAAAUCCCCGGGCUUAAACCGGGAAUUGCAUCUGAUACUGGUAAGCUAGAGUCUUGUAGAGGGGGGUAGAAUUCCAGGUGUAGCGGUGAAAUGCGUAGAGAUCUGGAGGAAUACCGGUGGCGAAGGCGGCCCCCUGGACAAAGACUGACGCUCAGGUGCGAAAGCGUGGGGAGAAAACAGG
RNAcentral lists this ribosomal RNA (429 nucleotides) under Chloroflexota bacterium. RNAcentral describes it as "Chloroflexi bacterium partial 16S ribosomal RNA". It matches the Rfam family "Bacterial small subunit ribosomal RNA", at positions 355 to 776 of the family's 1533-position model. The record is from RNAcentral. Lineage: Bacteria; Bacillati; Chloroflexota.